UUCUCUGGUGCUUCUUUAAAUUUCCCAUAUUCUCAGUUUUUUUUUCUUUUUUUUCACCACAAGCAAAAGCCUUGUCUUCCUCUUUCCUUCAUACAAUUGCUGUGUUCUUGUCUUCCUCUUUCCUUUAUAUACAAUUGUUGUGUUCCCUUUUACUCAAUUAUGGCUUCUUCUUCUUCUUCCUUGAUCACUUUUCAAUCGAAGAAGUACGAUGUGUUCAUUAGUUUUAGAGGUGCCGAUAUCCGCGAUGGCUUUCUCAGCCAUUUGCAGGAAGCUUUGCGCCAAAACGAAGUCAAUACCUUUGUGGAUGAAAAACUUGAUAGAGGAGAAGAGAUCUCAUCCUCCCUCUUGGAAAUAAUUGAACAAUCAUACUUUUCGUUGGUCAUUUUCUCGGAAAAUUAUGCUUAUUCUCCCUGGUGUUUGGAAGAACUUGUGAAGAUACUUGAGUGCAUGAAAGACAUGGAACAAAUGGUUUUACCAGUUUUCUACUGUAUAGAUCCAACCCAUGUUCAAGAACUUACAGGUAGCUUUGGAGCUGCACUUGCUAAGCAUAGAGAAGUUUUCAACAACUCUUUAGACAAGGUGGAGAGCUGGUGCCAAGCUUUGAGAGAAAUUGCUGGGAUAGCAGGGUUGGUUUCCCAUAACAUUAAGCCUGACUCCGAGCUAAUUAAGGAAAUUGUCAAACACAUUUCAGAAAAAUUAAAUGAUGUGUUUCCGAGUGAUUCUUUUGAUGAAGGGUUAGUUGGAAUUGAUUCCCGUGUCAAGGAUGCUCAAUCCUUAUUAUGCCUUGAGUCUACGCGUGUUUUAGGAAUUUGGGGGAUGGGUGGUAUAGGAAAAACUACCAUUGCUGAAAAAUUAUUUGAUCGAAUUUCUGAUCAAUUCAAUAGGCGAUGCUUUGCUGCAAAUGUCAGGGAAAAGUUUGAAAAGCACGGACCAGAUGCUGUACGAAAGGAAAUCCUUUUUCAAGUAUUAGGAAGGGAAACUUGUAAUUUAGGUCUGUCCACCAGGAGACGGUUGUCACGAGAUAAAGUUCUCAUUGCUCUUGAUGAUGUGAGUGAUUCAGAUCAAAUAGAACGUUCCAUAGGAAAACCUGCUAUCUAUGGUCCAGGUAGCAAAUUCAUUAUAACAAGCAGAGAUAAGCAACUGCUUAGGAACAUGGAGGCUCAAUUAUAUGAAGUUGAGAAAUUGAAUGACUGUGAAUCUUCUUGUCUUUUUCGCUUCCAUGCCUUCAAACAAGAUAUUGCAGGAAAAGAAUAUAUGGUGCUGUCAGAUAAGGCCGUUGAAUAUGCUCAAGGCAUUCCUUUAGCCAUUAAAGUUUUGGGUUCCAUUUUAUAUGGUAGAAGUGUGAGAGAAUGGGCAGAUGAAUUAGAAAAAUUCCAAAGUACAUCUGAUGAAAAAAUUCAGAGAAUAUUGAGACUAAGCUAUGAUGCUCUUUCUGCAAAGGACAAGGAAAUUUUUCUUGACAUUGUGUGCUUCUUCAAAGGGGAAGAUGUCGGUCUUGUUGAAAAUUUACUGGAUAUCCCUGGCUCAAUAAUUGGAAUUAGUCGUCUAGCUGAUAUGUCUCUUAUUUCUAUUACGAAAAACAAGUUACAUAUUCAUGAUCUGCUACAACAAAUGGGCAAGGAUAUUAUUUGCGAGGAAAAGCGGCUUGGACAACGUAGCAGACUGUGGCAUCCUAAGGAUAUAUAUUACCUGUUGACAAGAGCUGAGGGGACUGGAGCAAAUAAAGGGAUAUCGCUAGACAUGUCCAAAAUUAGAGAGGUGGAACUAAGUCCUACAGUCUUUGAGAGAAUGUAUAAUCUCAAAUUUCUCAAGUUCUACUGUUCAAUACCUCAUCAAAACAGAGUAAGCCUCUCAGAAGGACUCAUAUUUCUUCCAGAGGAGCUAAGGUUACUGCACUGGUAUCAAUACCCUUUGAAAUCUUUGCUAUUGAGUUCAUGUGCCGAGAAUCUGGUUGAUCUUCGCUUGACUAAUAGCAAAAUUAAGGAACUCUGGAAUGGAGUUCAGCAUCUUGGAAAUUUGAAAUAUGUUGACCUCAGCGACUGUAAGGAUCUAAUCAGACUUCCAGACUUGUCCAAAUGCCCAAAUCUUGAAGUUCUAGAUUUGACGUUAUGUAUGAGUUUGGUUGAGAUUCCCUCACCUCUAAAACAUUUGAGCAAGCUUACUACACUGAAUCUAAUGUUUUGUGCAAGUCUUUGCAAUUUACCGAGCUUGCUUCAUUUGGAAAGUCUUGAGGUUCUUCUUAUGAACAACUGCUCAAAAAUCAUACAGUUUCCAGAGGUUCCAUGUAAUGUAAGACGUUUAGAUUUAAGUAAUACUGCAGUACAACAAGUGCCCUCAUCAAUUUGUUGUCUCUCUCAUCUUUCUAAGUUCGAUUUGAAUUGUUUGAUGGGGCUUCAAAGUCUGCCAGACAGCAUAUGCAAUCUCAAAUCUCUCAGAAAUAUUGUUAUCUAUGAUUGUGCGAAUCUACAGGACCUUCCGGAGAACUUGGGGAAUCUAGAAUCUCUAGAGGAUCUUUUUCUAAGUGGCUCUGCUAUAAAAGAAUUACCAGACAGCAUUUGCAAUCUGAAAAACCUUGUGGAAUUAUCAGUUGAAACAUGUGCGAAUCUCCUUGGUCUUCCAGCAAACCUGGGGAAUUUAGAGUCUCUAGAAAGACUUAUUGCAGAUGGUACUGGUAUAAAAGAAUUACCAGAGAGCAUUUGCAAUCUGAAAAAUCUUACAAAAUUAUCGGUUAAUGAAUGUGUAUAUCUGCAGAGUCUGCCAGAGAACUUUGGUAAUUUAGAAUCUCUAGACGAGUUUGGUGCCCGUAGUACUGGUAUAAAAGAAUUACCAGACAGCUUUGGCAAUCUGAAAGAACUUAGAAUUAUUUACAUUGGUCACUGCAUGGUUCUGCAUGGACUGCCAGAGAGCUUUGGGAAUUUAGAAUCUUUGGAGCUUGUUAUGGCACCUGGCACUGGGAUAAAAAGAUUACCAUCUUCUAUCAAUCGGUUAAGAAAUUUGAGAACAUUAAAUUUUAGGAGAUGUGAAGGUUUGAUAAUCCCUGCUUUGGCAGGGAUUCCCCUUCUAGAGGAGGUUAAUCUAGAGUUGUGUGGCCUAUUAGAAUUUCCCAACACUCUUUGCCAUAUAGUGUCAUUGAAACAUUUGUACAUAGGUGGAAAUAAUUUCGAGAAAAUACCUGAUACCAUCAAACAACUUUCAAGACUAGUUGAACUUGAUUUAAGUGACUGCAAGAGACUAAAAUAUUUACCGGAGCUUCCAUCUCUCCUCAAAUUAUGUGCAACGAAUUGCACUUGUCUUGAGUCAGCAUCCAGUUUAUUCCAACUCCAGACUAUUAAAAUUUUAGAAUUUGACAACUGCAUCAAUUUGGAUGGUGAUGAACGUAAUAAAAUUGUGGACCAUUUACUGCAAACUCCUUGGCGAAAGGGAGUGGAGUUUUGUUUUCCUGGAAGUCAAGUGCCACAAUGGAUCAAGUAUCAGAAUGACUGUGGAUCUUCUUUCUUUCUGUCAUUUACACAACUGAAGCAGGUGAAAUCUACCUAUUUCACAUUUUUUGUUGUUUUUGACCCCAAAGUUUGUCAUCCUUGUCAUGUCAAAAGAAUUGGAUGUACAGUCCAUUCCAUAAAUGAGUCUGGACAUAGCCAAUAUCAAUUUGACUACUAUUGGGGUAAAUUGUACUGUGUUAAUGGUAAUCUCCGUGCGAAGGAUAAAAUCAUUCUUCAUUCAGAGCACAUCUUCUUUUGGCGUUCUUCUCUUAAUUUCACAGAGAAUAGCAUGGUCUUUCAAUUUUUUGUUGAGUAUAUCAAUAAAGGACGCAGUUACAAUGGGAUUGUUAAGUGUGGUAUCCAUGUAGAGGAGGAGGAGGAGCCUCCCUAUAAAAGACUGAAACAUGAAGAAGAUCAAACACCUCAUGUUGCUUUUAAGGUGCUCGGCAGUGGAUAUGAUUUCCCUCUUGGUAUAAAUACCAUCACUCACUAAUCAGUGGCAAAGAACAUGUCGUUUUCCUCUCCAAGUGGCAAAGACAUUGAUACUAAUGUUAUAUCUUUAUAAGGUGAGACUACGUUAUAUCUUUAUGAACUUUCAAAAUAUUUCUUUUGGUUCAUCUCAGCAUUGAGAUUUGGUACAAUUUGAAUUGUAAAUUUUUACCAAUCUUGGGUGGCAUGUUAUACUAGGAUGCAAGAUGGAUGUGGUUAUCACAUUAUGUAAGAGCAGCAAAAGGAAAAAGCUGGUUUCAGUAGAGCCAAGGAAUAUGUGGGAUAUGGUAUUUACAAUUAGAGGGUUAGCCAGCAUAGUCGACUGUCAUAUCAUUAAACAGUAUACACUGUACAGUUGCAUAUUGUGGCUAUCUAUAGAGUGGAGCCUAAAAUUCUAAUAGCUAACGGAAUACCUUAAGCACAGGCUUGUUCUGAAGUCAAGGUCAUUAAAAUGGAGGCUUGAAGAUGUGCAGUAUGUGCAGCUUCCAUUGACCCAUGAAGGCUUGCUUGUUCAAAGAAAGCAGCAUUUUAUGCUGAAACAUAAAGGUAUGGAGGAAUGGAAUGAUUGAUGAUAAUUUUUAGAGCUGUACAUAAUGGCAUUUGGACAUGUGAUUUCUCCCAUUCCCAACCUUUUUCUAAGAAGCAAUUUCAACAGUACCAAUAAGAGAUUUUUCUUCUAAUUUUCUUCAGAUUUUUUUGUAUUGGUAAUUUUAUGUUGAACUCUUUUUCAAAUAGGUAAUGAAGUUGGCCAUGAUUUAGAUUCA
This is an RNA transcript of Hevea brasiliensis (rubber tree), 4732 nucleotides long. It is a transcript of the gene named disease resistance protein RPV1-like, with no coding region annotated. The transcript has 7 exons. Lineage: Eukaryota; Viridiplantae; Streptophyta; Magnoliopsida; Malpighiales; Euphorbiaceae. The record is from RefSeq and is a predicted model, not a curated record.